UUUUUCCAUCACUAUGAGCUCGAGUGGCUGUGGUUGAAAGGAAAAGUGGCUGUUAGCCAUUCAAAAGGUCGCUGGUUGAAACCCAGCUUCCCUGCUAUUUAAAGAGCAAGUAACGUCUAAAUUAACUUUUUUUGCUGAUGAACUGUAUAAAUGAGUGUCUAAUAGUGUUUUAAAUGUGUGCAUUCUUUAUUUUAGCAUUUUGGUACAUUUUCUUUAAAAAUUUAAAAUUCUGUCUAAAAACCACAGUAAUGCGCCACCUUCAGCUGAAAACAUAGAAUUUGAGUCAUUUUGAAUAAAUUUUAGCCAAUGGCUAAAGAGUAAAAUACUACGUAAACCAGUAGAGUACUACGUAGCAGCUCUGUGUGAACGUUAUAAAAGCAACGAGCGUCUCGGCCACGCCUUGUGGCGAGUGGGAGUUGGAUUUGCAAGAGAGCGUAGGAGGUCAGCGGUAGUUCAACAUUAGCAUAUAGCAUUAGCAUAUCCUAGUCUUUAGCAUAUCUUUAAGUGUUAUAAAUACUUAUUUAGUGUUAGCUUGGCUGUUGGAUAUUGUAGUUUAGUUAGUGUUUGGUUGUUAGUGUAAUUGGGAAAGUAGUUCGGGUUUAGUGUUCCAUAUCGUCUAAGUAUUGGUGAGUAGGUGUAGUGUAGUAUGGUUGCGGUGACUCUGUGGGCAUUUUACCCGCGAUUCUGCACGCCUCCGUUUGAAGAGGGAGGCUGCCCACCGUGGUUCUUCCGCGAUUUAGAUGCAGCCCACCGACUCUGCUCCCCCACCACGGCGAGCUCCAGUCUGAGGUGAGUAAGCUAAAUAGACGUUUUAACAUCUUCUAAAGACAAUUCCCUACCUAAAUGCAAAGUCUGAGAGACGUGGUUCACUUCCUUUAGCUAGUCAGUCGGCAAUUCUGCAACAGUGGCUCUAACUGACGCAGCACUAGUUGACAGACAGCAUUACAGCGUGAAAUCCAGCUUGUGACCCGGUUCUGUAAGGAAUUCUGUUCAGGAGGUCACAUUUCAGGCUCUCCACAUCAUGUGUGACUGACUUUUACGUUAUAACAACGAUCACACACUAGGAAUGUUAUAAAGCGCCUAUAUAGGAGAUUCUUUUGUAUAUUAUCUGACUUUAUAAACUCCCAACAACAAUGUGCUUAUAUUUUUUUUUCAGGCUAAAUCUACCCAAGACAUAGGCUGUCAGACUGAUUUAGCUGCAAGAAUGCACUUGUCCAGGCUGACGUGAAACCUUCCCUGUAGCAAAGCCAGCCAGAAUGGAGUUCACAGCCGCAGUGUGUCUGGUGACCCACGGGGACCAUGAUCAAAAUUCAUCUUCCAGAAGGUCCCAGAGCAGCGGCCACACCCCCUGAAAAGACCAAGGUGUGAGGUGUCUGCUGUUGAUUCCAGCUUCCACCUCAGUGACAGUGCAAGCUCAGUGAACUGUUCAAGGACACUCAGCAAAAUAUAGACUCUACACCAUGAGGCAGGCACACGUUAAUAUUCUAUAAGAGCACAUAAGCAUGAGGAUGUCCUCACACACCUGUAACCUAUCAGCUCAUCUGGCAGAAUAGAGAGAGAAGAGACAACACCACAUCUCCUGUUCCUGGAAAGCCUUCAGCCGUCCUUCGAUGACUGAGAACCUCCAUCAGCUCUGUCUCCUGUCUGCCUACAAUUAUUAUAAUAAAUAUUGUGUUUGACAAGUUUUUUGUGCUGCCAAAUAUCUCAUUUAGAUUCCAGUUUUGAUAUUUUAAUGGAUAUUUAUAAAUUACAUUAAU
Non-coding RNA from Nothobranchius furzeri (turquoise killifish), 1757 nucleotides. The record is from RefSeq and is a predicted model, not a curated record. Lineage: Eukaryota; Metazoa; Chordata; Actinopteri; Cyprinodontiformes; Nothobranchiidae.